GCCGGGCUAGCUCAAUCGGUAGAGCGUGAGACUCUUAUAUCUUGCGAUCUCAAGGCUGCGGGUUCGACCCCCGCGUUCGGCU
This is a transfer RNA of 82 nucleotides. It matches the Rfam family "tRNA". From Rfam's summary of the family: Transfer RNA (tRNA) molecules are approximately 80 nucleotides in length. Their secondary structure includes four short double-helical elements and three loops (D, anti-codon, and T loops). Further hydrogen bonds mediate the characteristic L-shaped molecular structure. tRNAs have two regions of fundamental functional importance: the anti-codon, which is responsible for specific mRNA codon recognition, and the 3' end, to which the tRNAs corresponding amino acid is attached (by aminoacyl-tRNA synthetases). tRNAs cope with the degeneracy of the genetic code in two manners: having more than one tRNA (with a specific anti-codon) for a particular amino acid; and 'wobble' base-pairing, i.e. permitting non-standard base-pairing at the 3rd anti-codon position. The record is from Rfam.